AUUGAACGCUGGCGGCAGGCUUAACACAUGCAAGUCGAGCGGGGGAAGGUAGCUUGCUACUGGACCUAGCGGCGGACGGGUGAGUAAUGCUUAGGAAUCUGCCUAUUAGUGGGGGACAACAUCUCGAAAGGGAUGCUAAUACCGCAUACGUCCUACGGGAGAAAGCAGGGGAUCUUCGGACCUUGCGCUAAUAGAUGAGCCUAAGUCGGAUUAGCUAGUUGGUGGGGUAAAGGCCUACCAAGGCGACGAUCUGUAGCGGGUCUGAGAGGAUGAUCCGCCACACUGGGACUGAGACACGGCCCAGACUCCUACGGGAGGCAGCAGUGGGGAAUAUUGGACAAUGGGGGGAACCCUGAUCCAGCCAUGCCGCGUGUGUGAAGAAGGCCUUAUGGUUGUAAAGCAUUUUAAGCGAGGAGGAGGCUACUCUAGUUAAUACCUAGGGAUAGUGGACGUUACUCGCAGAAUAAGCACCGGCUAACUCUGUGCCAGCCGCCGCAGUAA
RNAcentral lists this ribosomal RNA (501 nucleotides) under uncultured bacterium. Its description in RNAcentral is "partial 16S ribosomal RNA". It matches the Rfam family "Bacterial small subunit ribosomal RNA", at positions 30 to 523 of the family's 1533-position model. The record is from RNAcentral.